AACUGUGUAAUGAAUGCACCAAUCUCAUCUGAUCUUGGAAGCUAAGCAGGUUUGGGCCUGGUUAGUACUUGGAUGGGAGACUGCCUGGGAAUAUCAGAUGCUACAGGUU
Ribosomal RNA from Pan paniscus (pygmy chimpanzee), 109 nucleotides. Lineage: Eukaryota; Metazoa; Chordata; Mammalia; Primates; Hominidae. The record is from Ensembl.